RNAcentral lists this ribosomal RNA (276 nucleotides) under Staphylococcus aureus. RNAcentral describes it as "partial 16S ribosomal RNA". It matches the Rfam family "Bacterial small subunit ribosomal RNA", at positions 1259 to 1533 of the family's 1533-position model. Lineage: Bacteria; Bacillati; Bacillota; Bacilli; Caryophanales; Staphylococcaceae. The record is from RNAcentral.
GAGGUCAAGCAAAUCCCAUAAAGUUGUUCUCAGUUCGGAUUGUAGUCUGCAACUCGACUACAUGAAGCUGGAAUCGCUAGUAAUCGUAGAUCAGCAUGCUACGGUGAAUACGUUCCCGGGUCUUGUACACACCGCCCGUCACACCACGAGAGUUUGUAACACCCGAAGCCGGUGGAGUAACCUUUUAGGAGCUAGCCGUCGAAGGUGGGACAAAUGAUUGGGGUGAAGUCGUAACAAGGUAGCCGUAUCGGAAGGUGCGGCUGGAUCACCUCCUUU